CCCUAUGGUGGAGGAUAACCCCGGGAAACUGGGGAUAAUACUCCAUAAGUCAGGAGUACUGGAAUGUCUCCUAACUGAAAGUUGCGGCGCCAUAGGAUGAAUCUGCGGCCGAUUAGGUAGUUGUUGGGGUAACGGCCCAACAAGCUUGUAUUCGGUACGGGUUGUGGGAGCAAGAGCCCGGAGAUGGAAUCUGAGACACGAUUCCAGGCCCUUUUUUGGCGCAGCAGGCGCGAAAACUUUACAAUGCAGGAAACUGUUUUUAUGGAACCCCGAGUGCCCGUAAACCCGGGCUGUCCCGGUGUUUAAAACACAUCGGAAGAAAGGGCCGGGCAAGACCGGUGCCAGCCGCCGCGGUAAUACCGGCGGCUCGAGUGGCGACCACUUUUAUUGGGCUUAAAGCGUUCGUAGCUUGAUUUUUAAGUCUCUUGGGAAAUCUCACGGCUUAACUGUGAGGCGUCUAAGAGAUACUGGGAAUCUAGGGACCGGGAGAGGUAAGAGGUACUUUCAAGGGUAGAAGUGAAUUCUGUAAUCCUUGAGGGGCCACGAUGGCGAGCAUCUACCAGACGCUUCGACAGUGAGACGAAGCUGGGGAGCGACGG
Molecule: ribosomal RNA, 599 nt
Filed under: uncultured archaeon
Lineage: Archaea
Description: bacterial SSU rRNA
Rfam family: Archaeal small subunit ribosomal RNA
Source: RNAcentral